GACGAACCACCCAAACGUUAUUCGGAAUUACUGGGCUUAAAGAGUGCGUAGGCGGCCUGGAAAGUAAGGUGCGAAAUCCCACAGCUCAACUGUGGAACUGCGCUUUAAACCUCCCGGCUAGAGGGAUAUAGAGGUGAGCAGAACAGAUGGUGGAGCGGUGAAAUGCGUUGAUAUCAUCUGGAAUACCGGAGGCGAAGGCGGCUCACUGGGUAUCUUCUGACGCUGAGGUACGAAAGCUAGGGUAGCGAACGGG
Molecule: ribosomal RNA, 253 nt
Filed under: uncultured bacterium
Lineage: Bacteria
Description: partial 16S ribosomal RNA
Rfam family: Bacterial small subunit ribosomal RNA
Source: RNAcentral